This is a long non-coding RNA of Notolabrus celidotus (New Zealand spotty), 362 nucleotides long. RefSeq lists it as uncharacterized. The record is from RefSeq and is a predicted model, not a curated record. NCBI's taxonomy places the organism in Eukaryota, Metazoa, Chordata, Actinopteri, Labriformes, Labridae. The transcript is spliced from 3 exons.
GUAUACUUGCCACAUUGUUCAUUGAGCAAGAGCAAAGAAAAUGGACAUACAGUGCAUCGCGGACAAGUUCACAGAGCUUAAGGCUUGUCCAGACUGUGGUGGAGAGCAGCGGGCUAAGCAGCGACACACAGCAGCUAUUGUUAGGCAGCCGAGACCCAGCAUCUCAUUACACUGACUCAUCAUGGGCCUUCUCCUCAUGGUACGUCUCCUCCUCAUGAUACCACUCCUCCUGAUAGACCAGCAUUCAUUCCUCCAGGAACCAGACCUCCUUCUCCUGAUAUACACCCUCCAUCUGAUAGACAGAUUGGAGUGACCACAAACACCCCGUCAUUUUAACGCAACUCAACAGACUUUCAAACAGG